RNAcentral lists this long non-coding RNA (1094 nucleotides) under Nicotiana benthamiana. RNAcentral's name for it is "long non-coding RNA (NBEN_LNC033833)". The record is from RNAcentral. Lineage: Eukaryota; Viridiplantae; Streptophyta; Magnoliopsida; Solanales; Solanaceae.
ACCUCCCCCUACAAAACCUACACCCACUCCCAAAAUACAUCUCCCAUUUCUAAAAUUCUCUGCAUGAUACCUUCAGAUCUUGACCCUAGAAAAGAAAAAGAAAAAAAAUUAUAGGCGUGAACUAUCCCUGAAAAAAGACCGGAAAAUCCAUAGCGGCCCCUCCUUCAUUUAACUCUCUUUCUUCCUUUCUGAAAAUAAUGUCAAAGACCCAAUCCUCUGUAUAGUUUACCUUUAAAUUAGUAAACAAGAACCUUCAAAUCAGUAAAAAAUCAAAAUAUCCGAGCCACAAAAUGUCAUGUGCAAGUUUUUCCAAAUUAUUAUAGGUUUCAAUAAAAAGCAUACAAAUCCGAUUAUCGGAUGACAAAGCAUUUUAAAAAAUAAUGGGUUUGCUCAAGGGUUUUCAUAUUUUUGCGGUAGAAGUGCAUUGAGCUACUGUUAAACGAAGCAAACUUAUACAACUGAUGAGACACUCAGAGAAUUAAAAUCUCCUAAAUCAAGGAGAAGGGGAUAGACAAAAAAGAAAAUUUGAGAGGCGGAAGAAUAGAUAUAUUGAUUUGGGGGAGGGGGGAGGGGGUGAAAAAGAGAAAAUGGUAUUCUCCGGUGGCUGAAAAUUUUUUCUGGCGGUGGAAGUAUUAGAGUUGUUGGCGGUAAUUAGGAGAAGAGAUGGUGGGAUAGGGAAAAAAAUGAAGAUAAAGUUAAUAGUUUAUUUUCAUAUGUGGCACUAGUAAUGACGUGGCAUCCAAUGUGUAGGAGAUAGCAUUACACGUACUGACAAUCUUCUGUCAUAAUCGUUUAUUAUAUACGGUUUGAAUGAGUAUUAAUGUCCAAUUUACAAAACGCUAUUUUUGGGGACCGGGAUGAAAGUGACACAAAUAUAAGUGCCAUUUAGGCUAUUCUGCCCCUUUUAUCGUAAGUUUGACAAUAUAUCCUUGGUGUAUAUUGAGCCUAUCUCGAGUGUGAUUGUGUAUAUGUGUAUAAAUUUGUGUACCCCAAAUGUAUUUUGUAUCCUGAAUGUAUAAUCUGUCUGAAAAUAUAGUGUAUAUAAAUUAUAUACAAUUUUGUGUGUCAAAUAUGUGCACACCGUGUAUUUGGAG